AGUGAACGCUGGCGGUAGGCCUAACACAUGCAAGUCGAACGGCAGCACAGUAAGAGCUUGCUCUUACGGUUGGCGAGUGGCGGACGGGUGAGGAAUACAUCGGAAUCUACUUUUUCGUGGGGGAUAACGUAGGGAAACUUAUGCUAAUACCGCAUACGACCUACGGGUGAAAGCAGGGGAUCUUCGGACCUUGCGCGAUUGAAUUAGCCGAUGUCGGAUUAGCUAGUUGGCGGGGUAAAGGCCCACCAAGGCGACGAUCCGUAGCUGGUCUGAGAGGAUGAUCAGCCACACUGGAACUGAGACACGGUCCAGACUCCUACGGGAGGCAGCAGUGGGGAAUAUUGGACAAUGGGCGCAAGCCUGAUCCAGCCAUACCGCGUGGGUGAAGAAGGCCUUCGGGUUGUAAAGCCCUUUUGUUGGGAAAGAAAAGCAGCAGGUUAAUACCCCGCUGUUCUGACGGUACCCAAAGAAUAAGCACCGGCUAACUUCGUG
This 492-nucleotide ribosomal RNA is filed under the name uncultured bacterium. RNAcentral describes it as "partial 16S ribosomal RNA". It matches the Rfam family "Bacterial small subunit ribosomal RNA", at positions 29 to 507 of the family's 1533-position model. The record is from RNAcentral.